RNAcentral lists this ribosomal RNA (301 nucleotides) under uncultured bacterium. RNAcentral describes it as "partial 16S ribosomal RNA". It matches the Rfam family "Bacterial small subunit ribosomal RNA", at positions 509 to 807 of the family's 1533-position model. The record is from RNAcentral.
CAGUCGCCGCGGUAAUACAGAGGGUGCGAGCGUUAAUCGGAUUUACUGGGCGUAAAGCGUGCGUAGGCUGCUUUUUAAGUCGGAUGUGAAAUCCCUGAGCUUAACUUAGGAAUUGCAUUCGAUACUGGGAAGCUAGAGUAUGGGAGAGGAUGGUAGAAUUCCAGGUGUAGCGGUGAAAUGCGUAGAGAUCUGGAGGAAUACCGAUGGCGAAGGCAGCCAUCUGGCCUAAUACUGACGCUGAGGUACGAAAGCAUGGGGAGCAAACAGGAUUAGAUACCCCUGUAGUCCCUGUCUCUUAUAC